UCCCUGAAAACAUUAUGGAUGAAGGCAGAAAGGUUAGAAAGUUGAGUGGGGCCUCCAUCUGAGAUUAGACAGCAGUUGUAUGUGUUCGAGCUCAGUACUUACUCAGCCGUUCUGGCCAAGGGAUAACUAGUGGAGAGGAAUCUUUGUGUUUUUCCUCCUGCAGUAGGGAACCUCAAGCCCCCAGUUUCAUAUCGCAGACCAGCACCCACUGCAAUUGUUCAAUAAAACAAGAGAUCUAGACUAGUGACCCAGGCUCCUUCUCAUAUUCCGGUAAUAGGACGCAAUAAGACUUGCCAAUAUUGUGGCAAGGAUCAUGAGGACUGACUCUACUAUUAUCUCAAUAAUAUUUGUCGUAUAUGUGGGAGUGCCCAGCAUUACAUGAGAGAGUG
This 389-nucleotide long non-coding RNA is filed under the name Carica papaya (papaya). Its description in RNAcentral is "long non-coding RNA (CPAP_LNC004827)". The record is from RNAcentral. Lineage: Eukaryota; Viridiplantae; Streptophyta; Magnoliopsida; Brassicales; Caricaceae.